AAUAACCUCAUUUUUCGUUUUUCCGUGUCCAACGUUUGACAUUUCGUCUUAUUUGAAAAAUUUGUGUAAAAACCUAAAAAAAAUAGUCACCUAUAAAGUAUUAUUCAUAUUUUAUCAUAUAGUAACAACAAAAAUAUUAAUCGCAAAAAAAUUUCAAAUAAGACAAAUGGUCAAACGUUGGACACGGAAAACGAAAAAUGAGGUUAUU
Non-coding RNA from Oryza brachyantha (malo sina), 208 nucleotides. NCBI's taxonomy places the organism in Eukaryota, Viridiplantae, Streptophyta, Magnoliopsida, Poales, Poaceae. The record is from Rfam.